RNAcentral lists this ribosomal RNA (253 nucleotides) under uncultured bacterium. RNAcentral describes it as "partial 16S ribosomal RNA". It matches the Rfam family "Bacterial small subunit ribosomal RNA", at positions 524 to 776 of the family's 1533-position model. The record is from RNAcentral.
UACGAAGGGGGCUAGCGUUGUUCGGAAUUACUGGGCGUAAAGGGCGCGUAGGCGGUUAUGUAAGUCAGAUGUGAAAGCCCCGAGCUUAACUUGGGAACAGCAUUUGAUACUGCGUGACUAGAGUACGAGAGAGGAAAGUGGAAUUGCGAGUGUAGAGGUGAAAUUCGUAGAUAUUCGCAAGAACACCAGUGGCGAAGGCGACUUUCUGGCUCGUAACUGACGCUAAGGCGCGAAAGCGUGGGGAGCAAACAGG